Molecule: ribosomal RNA, 602 nt
Filed under: uncultured fungus
Lineage: Eukaryota; Fungi
Description: eukaryotic LSU rRNA
Rfam family: 5.8S ribosomal RNA (bases 184-337)
Source: RNAcentral
AGUCGUAACAAGGUUUCCGUAGGUGAACCUGCGGAAGGAUCAUUAAUGAAUUCUAGGACGUUCUUUUUAGAAGUCCGACCCUUUCAUUUUCUUACACUGUGCACACACUUCUUUUUUACACACACCUUUAACACAUUAGUAUAAGAAUGUAAUAGUCUCUUGAUUGAGCAUAAAUAAAAACAAAACUUUCAGCAACGGAUCUCUUGGCUCUCGCAUCGAUGAAGAACGCAGCGAAUUGCGAUAAGUAAUGUGAAUUGCAGAAUUCAGUGAAUCAUCGAAUCUUUGAACGCACCUUGCACUCUUUGGUAUUCCGAAGAGUAUGUCUGUUUGAGUGUCAUGAAACUCUCAACCCCCCUAUUUUGUAAUGAGAUGGGCGUGGCUUGGAUUAUGGCUGUCUGUCGGCGUAAUUGCCGGCUCAGCUGAAAUACACGAGCAACCCUAUUGAAAUAGACGGUUUGACUUGGCGUAAUAAUUAUUUCGCUAAGGACGUCUUCUUCAAAUAUAAGAGGUGCUUCUAAUGCGCUUUUUAAAGCAACUUAAGCUUUAGACCUCAAAUCAGUCAGGACUACCCGCUGAACUUAAGCAUAUCAAUAUAAAAGUCG